RNAcentral lists this unclassified non-coding RNA (253 nucleotides) under uncultured Paracoccaceae bacterium. RNAcentral's name for it is "uncultured Rhodobacteraceae bacterium contains 16S-23S intergenic spacer region". It matches the Rfam family "Bacterial small subunit ribosomal RNA", at positions 524 to 776 of the family's 1533-position model. The record is from RNAcentral. Lineage: Bacteria; Pseudomonadati; Pseudomonadota; Alphaproteobacteria; Rhodobacterales; Paracoccaceae.
UACGGAGGGGACUAGCGUUGUUCGGAAUUACUGGGCGUAAAGCGCGCGUAGGCGGACUAUUAAGUCAGGGGUGAAAUCCCGGGGCUCAACCCCGGAACUGCCCUUGAUACUGGUAGUCUGGAGUUCUGGAGAGGUGAGUGGAAUAUCCAGUGUAGAGGUGAAAUUCGUAGAUAUUGGAUGGAACACCGAUGGCGAAGGCAGCUCGCUGGACCGGAACUGACGCUGAGGCACGAAAGCAUGGGUAGCGAACAGG